GCCGGGCGGGGCCGGGGCGGGCGGCUGGCCGGGCUCAGGGGCGGCCCGCAGGCGAUAAAGCGCUGCUGGGAGCCAGGGGCAGGUGUCCGCGUUGACAUAGCUUUGAGGAACGCAAGAGCUGGGAUGAGCUUUCCAGCCUCCCCAGCUUUGGGUACUGAAAGUGGGUCUACAGGAAAGACCACAGACUGAUAUGAUUUCACAUCAAGCUUCACUGAAAGGAAUAUGGCUAUCACAGGUCAGACACUGCUGUUCCCAGAGAAGAGUGUACCCAAAACAGAAGAGUUGGUCACUUGGGAAGAACUGCCUUUUGUAGUAGCUGACAGAGAUCUGGAACCCUUUGCUGAUGCAGCUAGGAGGGGACCUGCCCUCUUCAAAGAAGGGACCCAAAAAGAAGCAUUUCAGCAACUGACGGCCUGGUGUGACCCAACAGAAACCAGCCCACCCUGACGGCAUGUCCUCCCCGCUGUGCUUGUUCCCUUUGCCCUUGGAAUGCUAUCACUUGUUAUCACGCUGACUUCUCCAGAUGGGGCAUUUUGGCUAUUGAUCUGAUAAAUAAACAGCCUGCUCGCUCGAUCAAAAUGUUAUUUUGCAUUUCAAUUACUGUUCGCUAAUGCAACCUUCAUCCCGCCAAGAGUGCUGCUGGCAAUGACACUCGACCUGGCACAGGCGUUUGCAAGCAAAUUCGGCAGCACCCGCUGCAAGCACCUAACGGGAUUACCACCCUCCAUUAGAGGCACAGAGAGAGAAGACGAUGGACAGACAGUAGUGGGCUCAAGGGGAACAGACACAUGCAGAACAGAAGGUGUGAGCAACCUGCACAAGGGAUACAGAGAGGCAACGAGACAGCUUUACUAGAUAUUUUAACAGUGAGAGAUCUUGAAAGCUGAAAAUUUUCCCUCCAGUGAACAACCCCAACAGCUCAUAGCAAAUAGACUGAGCUCUCUGUGUCUGAGCCAUGCAAGAGUUCAGAGCAAUGGGCAAUAGAAAUCAAUGUCUGCUGACAAGCCAGCAGUGAGCACUGCUGGGGCAAACAGGGUCAAUUCUAAAUCAAGUUCUGAAGCCUAGCUCCACCAGGACUCAGCAGACCCUGGAGAUACACACAGCAUUCUGUACCUAAACUUGCAGGGAGGAAACCCUCUUAAUCCUUGCUGGAUUCUUCCGGGAAAUAUGACUGCCUCUGGUGAACCUGGUGGUGAUACAGGAACAAUGGGGCAUGCAGAGGUGUUGCUAAAAUCUCUGGUAGGUGUUGAUCUCUAUUAAUUCAGCACUCUGUUUACAUCAGGGCAUCCUGUGCCAAAUCCACAGACUGGUUUCACUCAAACCCUGUCUACAGUAAGAACCCUAACACAAAUAGUAAAUCAGAGAGCAGCCACCAGCAGUCAGGUCAGGCAUGGCCCCAUGGUUAUGAGACAGCUUCUAGUCCCAAACUCUUCUAGUCAGGUGACAUGCCUCACCAGGUUGCUGGUU
Prinia subflava (tawny-flanked prinia) is the source of this 1467-nucleotide long non-coding RNA. RefSeq lists it as uncharacterized. The record is from RefSeq and is a predicted model, not a curated record. NCBI's taxonomy places the organism in Eukaryota, Metazoa, Chordata, Aves, Passeriformes, Cisticolidae. The transcript is spliced from 4 exons.